Molecule: small nuclear RNA, 107 nt
Organism: Delphinapterus leucas (beluga whale)
Lineage: Eukaryota; Metazoa; Chordata; Mammalia; Artiodactyla; Monodontidae
Source: Ensembl
GUGCUGGCUUCUGCAGCACAUAUACUAAUAUUGGAAAGAUACAGAGAAGAUUAGCAUGACCCCUGCCCAAGGAUGACAUGCAAAUUCACGAAGCAUUCCUUUUUUUU